RNAcentral lists this transfer RNA (72 nucleotides) under Camelus bactrianus (Bactrian camel). It matches the Rfam family "tRNA". Rfam says of the family: Transfer RNA (tRNA) molecules are approximately 80 nucleotides in length. The record is from Rfam by way of RNAcentral. Lineage: Eukaryota; Metazoa; Chordata; Mammalia; Artiodactyla; Camelidae. RNAcentral also lists the same sequence under 2 other names.
GAGGGUAUAGCUCAGAGGUGGAGUGCAAGUUUAGCAUGCACAAGGUCCUGGAUUCAAACUCCAGUACCUCCA